UGCCAGCAGCCGCGGUAAUACGAAGGGGGCUAGCGUUGUUCGGAAUUACUGGGCGUAAAGCGCGCGUAGGUGGUCAUGUAAGUCAGAGGUGAAAUCCCGGGGCUCAACCCCGGAACUGCCUUUGAAACUAUAUGACUUGAGUCUCGGAGGGGAUGGUGGAAUUUCUAAUGUAGCGGUGAAAUGCGUAGAGAUUAGAAGGAACACCGGUGGCGAAGGCGACCAUCUGGACGAGUACUGACACUGAGGUGCGAAAGCGUGGGGAGCAAACAGGAUUAGAUA
Molecule: ribosomal RNA, 279 nt
Filed under: uncultured bacterium
Lineage: Bacteria
Description: partial 16S ribosomal RNA
Rfam family: Bacterial small subunit ribosomal RNA
Source: RNAcentral